GACACUACCUGGUACAGGGGACGCCUCGCUUUCAGCAGGCCAACCCUGUGGCGAGUCCGAGUAGCGUCGGACCGUCGCAACGCGCGGAAAGGAGUGGGCUGCAUUAUUGCGGCUUAAGGUACGUGCUAAACCCUUGGGAAACCAAGCUCGUAGGAUUAGACCCGAUAUGUCGAAGU
This 176-nucleotide ribosomal RNA is filed under the name Xylariales sp. RNAcentral's name for it is "partial small subunit ribosomal RNA". Lineage: Eukaryota; Fungi; Ascomycota; Sordariomycetes; Xylariales. The record is from RNAcentral.